RNAcentral lists this ribosomal RNA (328 nucleotides) under uncultured eukaryote. RNAcentral describes it as "partial 18S ribosomal RNA". It matches the Rfam family "Eukaryotic small subunit ribosomal RNA", at positions 1470 to 1796 of the family's 1831-position model. The record is from RNAcentral.
CCCUUAGAUGUUCUGGGCUGCACGCGCGCUACACUGAUACUUUCAGCGAGUCCACCACCUUGCCUGGGAGGGUGGGGUAACCUCUGGAAAGUGCAUCGUGAUGGGGAUCGAUUAUUGUAAUUAUUAAUCUUCAACGAGGAAUUCCUAGUAAGUGCAAGUCAUCAGCUUGCGCUGAUUACGUCCCUGCCCUUUGUACACACCGCCCGUCGCCACUACCGAUUGGAUGGUCCGGUGAAGCCUCGGGAUUGUGGUUCUUGCCGCUUUAUUGUGGCGUGACCGCGAGAACUUGUCUAAACCUUAUCAUCUAGAGGAAGGUGAAGUCGUAACA